AUUGAACGCUGGCGGCAGGCCUAACACAUGCAAGUCGAGCGGAGCGGCGGACGGGUGAGUAAUGCCUAGGAAUCUGCCUGGUAGUGGGGGAUAACGUCCGGAAACGGGCGCUAAUACCGCAUACUAUAAGAUGAGACUAGGUCGGAUUAGCUAGUGGGUGGGGUAAAGGCCUACCAGGGCGACGAUCCGUAACUGGUCUGAGAGGAUGAUCAGUCACACUGGAACGGAGACCCGGUCCAGACUCCUACGGGUGGCAGCAUUGGGGAAUAUCGGACAAGGGGCGAAAACCUGAUCCAGCCAUGCCGCGUAUGGGAAGAAGGUCUUCGGAUUGUAAAGCACUUUAAGUUGGGAGGCGUUACCAACAGAAUAAGCACCGGCUAACUUCGUGCCAGCAGCCGCGGUAAUUC
RNAcentral lists this ribosomal RNA (407 nucleotides) under uncultured bacterium. Its description in RNAcentral is "partial 16S ribosomal RNA". It matches the Rfam family "Bacterial small subunit ribosomal RNA", at positions 30 to 526 of the family's 1533-position model. The record is from RNAcentral.